UCUGACGGAGCAACGCCGCGUGAACGAAGAAGGUCUUCGGAUUGUAAAGUUCUGUGAUUCGGGACGAAAGGGUUUGUGGCGAAUAAUCAUAGACAUUGACGGUACCGAAAAAGCAAGCCACGGCUAACUACGUGCCAGCAGCCGCGGUAAUACGUAGGUGGCAAGCGUUGUCCGGAAUUAUUGGGCGUAAAGCGCGCGCAGGCGGUUUCUUAAGUCCAUCUUAAAAGCGUGGGGCUCAACCCCAUGAGGGGAUGGAAACUGGGAAGCUGGAGUAUCGGAGAGGAAAGUGGAAUUCCUAGUGUAGCGGUGAAAUGCGUAGAGAUUAGGAAGAAUACCGGUGGCGAAGGCGACUUUCUAGACGAAAACUGACGCUGAGGCGCGAAAGCGUGGGGAGCAAACAGGAUUAGAUACCCUGGUAGUCCACGCCGUAAACGAUGGAUACUAGGUGUAGGAGGUAUCGACCCCUCCUGUGCCGGAGUUAACGCAAUAAGUAUUCCCGCCUGGGAAGUACGAUCGCAAGAUUAAACUCAAAGGAAUUGACGGGGCCCGCACAAGCGGUGGAGUAUGUGGUUUAAUUCGACGCACGCGAAGAAC
RNAcentral lists this ribosomal RNA (594 nucleotides) under Dialister pneumosintes. Its description in RNAcentral is "bacterial SSU rRNA". It matches the Rfam family "Bacterial small subunit ribosomal RNA", at positions 382 to 969 of the family's 1533-position model. Lineage: Bacteria; Bacillati; Bacillota; Negativicutes; Veillonellales; Veillonellaceae. The record is from RNAcentral.